RNAcentral lists this ribosomal RNA (1061 nucleotides) under Salmonella enterica. RNAcentral describes it as "partial 23S ribosomal RNA". It matches the Rfam family "Bacterial large subunit ribosomal RNA", at positions 1 to 1093 of the family's 2925-position model. Lineage: Bacteria; Pseudomonadati; Pseudomonadota; Gammaproteobacteria; Enterobacterales; Enterobacteriaceae. The record is from RNAcentral.
GGGUUGUGAGGUUAAGCGACUAAGCGUACACGGUGGAUGCCCUGGCAGUCAGAGGCGAUGAAGGACGUGCUAAUCUGCGAUAAGCGCCGGUAAGGUGAUAUGAACCGUUAUAACCGGCGAUUUCCGAAUGGGGAAACCCAGUGUGACUCGUCACACUAUCAUUAACUGAAUCCAUAGGUUAAUGAGGCGAACCGGGGGAACUGAAACAUCUAAGUACCCCGAGGAAAAGAAAUCAACCGAGAUUCCCCCAGUAGCGGCGAGCGAACGGGGAGGAGCCCAGAGCCUGAAUCAGCAUGUGUGUUAGUGGAAGCGUCUGGAAAGGCGCGCGAUACAGGGUGACAGCCCCGUACACAAAAGCGCAUGUGCUGUGAGCUCGAUGAGUAGGGCGGGACACGUGGUAUCCUGUCUGAAUAUGGGGGGACCAUCCUCCAAGGCUAAAUACUCCUGACUGACCGAUAGUGAACCAGUACCGUGAGGGAAAGGCGAAAAGAACCCCGGCGAGGGGAGUGAAAAAGAACCUGAAACCGUGUACGUACAAGCAGUGGGAGCACCCUUUGGGGUGUGACUGCGUACCUUUUGUAUAAUGGGUCAGCGACUUAUAUUCUGUAGCAAGGUUAACCGAAUAGGGGAGCCGGAGGGAAACCGAGUCUUAAUUGGGCGUUAAGUUGCAGGGUAUAGACCCGAAACCCGGUGAUCUAGCCAUGGGCAGGUUGAAGGUUGGGUAACACUAACUGGAGGACCGAACCGACUAAUGUUGAAAAAUUAGCGGAUGACCUGUGGCUGGGGGUGAAAGGCCAAUCAAACCGGGAGAUAGCUGGUUCUCCCCGAAAGCUAUUUAGGUAGCGCCUCGUGAAUUCAUCUCCGGGGGUAGAGCACUGUUUCGGCUAGGGGGCCAUCCCGGCUUACCAACCCGAUGCAAACUGCGAAUACCGGAGAAUGUUAUCACGGGAGACACACGGCGGGUGCUAACGUCCGUCGUGAAGAGGGAAACAACCCAGACCGCCAGCUAAGGUCCCAAAGUCAUGGUUAAGUGGGAAACGAUGUGGGAAGGCCCAGACAGC